CCGAGCGCGCGGCGACGGCGGGCGCCAGGGCGGCUACGUGCGCCGCGCGCGCGCCUCGCCCUCCGCGCUGGUGAUGGCGAUUUGGCGUUUUCUCUCUGCUCAGUGUCAGGUGGAGCCCGAGUUGUCACUGAGAUGUCUUCACGGGGAGGCGAGGGCAAGCAGCCACGAAUCACAAGACAUGUGAGUGAGCACAGCCCGGAUCACCAAAUCUGUCUGCUUGAUCUGCUGCUGAGUGCAGAUGCAUAAGCAAGUCCAGCUGAAGUCAGCCAAGCCCAGCCCAAGUAGGGGAACUCACUUUCCUAAAUUAGAUGGCCUGAAAAGUCAAGUCAGCAAACAAAAGGUUGCUUCAAGAUUGGGAAUCACAACAGAGAAGGUUGGCUAAUUUGAACCCGUUUUAUCUGGACCAAGAUGAAGACUUAUGAUCCACAAUGCUGCCCAAAAGAACACCUGAAUUUGAACUAGAUUCAGCAUUCUCUAGACAGCAUUACAUAAUCCUCAGACUACCUUUUUAAGCUUCUGAUUGACUACCCUUUUUCUGUUCAC
This is a long non-coding RNA of Lemur catta (Ring-tailed lemur), 543 nucleotides long. RefSeq lists it as uncharacterized. The transcript has 3 exons. The record is from RefSeq and is a predicted model, not a curated record. Lineage: Eukaryota; Metazoa; Chordata; Mammalia; Primates; Lemuridae.